RNAcentral lists this ribosomal RNA (550 nucleotides) under Favolaschia minima. RNAcentral's name for it is "eukaryotic LSU rRNA". The stretch from base 204 to 357 matches the Rfam family "5.8S ribosomal RNA". The record is from RNAcentral. Lineage: Eukaryota; Fungi; Basidiomycota; Agaricomycetes; Agaricales; Mycenaceae.
GAUGCUGGCCUUUCGGGGCAUGUGCUCGCACUCAAUCUAUUUAUCUUCACUUGUGCACCUCUUGUAGUCUUCAGAGUCGUCUUCCGCUGCAAAUGCGGGUUUUGGGGUUUUCAUGCCCUGGACUCUUGAAGACUAUGUUUUCAUAUACCUUAAAAAUGUUAUAGAAUGCUUUUUAUCGGUCGAAAGGCCUUUAAACCUAAUACAACUUUCAACAACGGAUCUCUUGGCUCUCCCAUCGAUGAAGAACGCAGCGAAAUGCGAUAAGUAAUGUGAAUUGCAGAAUUCAGUGAAUCAUCGAAUCUUUGAACGCACCUUGCGCCCUUUGGUAUUCCGAAGGGCAUGCCUGUUUGAGUGUCAUUAAAUUAUCAACCUUGAAGUUUUUUCUUCUUGGCUUGGAUGUGAGGGCUUGCUGGCUUCCUUCAGUGGAUUGGUCUGCUCCCUUUAAAUGCAUUAGUGGGAUCUCUUGUGGACCGUCACUGGGUGUGAUAAUUAUCUACGCCGUUUGACUUCAAGAACCUGCUCAUAACCGUCCUCACGGACAACUUCCUUA